Molecule: long non-coding RNA, 1850 nt
Organism: Mastomys coucha (southern multimammate mouse)
Lineage: Eukaryota; Metazoa; Chordata; Mammalia; Rodentia; Muridae
Exons: 2
Source: RefSeq, a predicted model, not a curated record
UGCUCCCCACCUUGAUGAUAAUGGACUGAACCUCUGAACCUACCACAACCCACAACAGUGACGCAUGCGGAUGAGGUGGCAGAGAAGCAUCUGCUUGGAGUCUGAACAAGAUGAGUAAACACCGAUGCCUGUGAGUCUCCGAAUCCCACGGCCCAGGGUGUGGCCUCUGUUGCCUUGGCCAAAGGUAACUCGCUUCAAUAAGGUCACGCCUCUCCUCUCACUUAGGAUGUCUUUGUUGUCAGACUUUCCUUGCCUACUCUCAACACCUGAGAGUGGUUCCCACCUCUCCAUCCCCAACUGCCUGUAUCCUGUUGCUUUCUGGGAUGUUCAAAGCCGUCAACCCAUCCUGUAUCUCUUUAGGGUUUGUUUGGAAGCAGGGUCUCAAACUAGGGAUCCUUCUGGCUCCCAGGUCUUCAGGACCGCAGGCAGGAGCUAAUGUAGACAUGACAUUGUAUUAUGUGCUGCUCGCUCCUAUCUUCUUUACCCACCACACUUUCUGCCAUAUUCAUAGGGUGUUAGGGAGCCUUUCGGCAACGAUCAGACAUUUCAGGGCUGCAACUGACCCAUGCCUUUGUGCUUGCUCAUUGCCUACUCCCUUGAGAAGUCCUGAGAGCUCCCGCGGAGCGCUGAUGCAGAGGUGCCUCAUUAGUCACUGGGAGCCAGUGGACCAGCUGGAACUGAAACCGGAGUCUUCAAGGAAAGCCUGGGUUUUCCCCUAGGCGCUCUGGGGUGCAGAGGAGGCCCACAGCACCUAGCGACCGCCUUAGCUUUCCAGCCCGCUGGGCAGGGACGCAUUUCUUCCUCAAGAGGGCGCCGGCUGCCUGCAUCUGAGCUGUUGGCAAUUGGGAUUCAGAGGAUGGGAGUGACCCUCUGGCCCAAGUGCAGGAUUUCAGAAGCAGCAGGGACAUUCCAACCACCCCGGGGACAUUCCAGCCACACCAAGACUGAGAUACCAGUUCCGUAGAUCCCAUAAGUUCCGUGUUUCUGGAAAGUCGGGAACUCUUUGCUUAACAUCUUUUCAGCCUCUGCGCGGUCGGCAUUUUGGACUUGGAAAGAUGAGGAGGGGUGCUUUCCGGAGCACAGCAGCCUCGCCCUGCACCGGGACAAGGAUGUGCCAGGACUCACCCCUCCUCCCCUUCAAUGCUAGGAUGGGUGGAGAGCCAUCUUCCAGUGAUGUAAGGGAGAGAUUCCUGGGGCCCCCACAACCUCGGAAGCCAAUCUGGAAGGCUAUUUCUGAGCACACCCCAGACCCAAGACAGAACUCAUGAAUGUUCUGCACAGGAUAUCACGAUUUCUGUCCUGUAAACUUUCCUUCCAGGGAUUUUUUUUUUUUUAAUUUGUUUUAUCAUCUCCAAAUGGUAAUCGUUUGUGAAUUACGUGGUGUUUAUCCUCCUGGCUAUAAACUCUAAACCAGUGCAGGGGAUCCAUCCCCCCACCCCCCUCUAAACCAGUGCUGGGGAUCCAUCCCCCCAUCCCCCAUCCCCGCCCCCUCCCCCACCCCCCACAGUCUGCAUAGCUCCUAUUUCUCAGGAGCCAUUUAUCUCCCUUUUAUUGUUUUCUUCAUUGGUUUCCCCCUCGGCCAGACAGGCUUAAUAACUGGCAGUCAUCACGCAGAUCGUAGCGGUGGCAGCCACCCCCGCAAAGGGACCCAGUCGUUUCCCAGAGCCAGAAUGCUCUGCAGUCCCAGCUUCUAUUGUUUUCUUAGCAGACUCCGGGUUUUGUUUCUUGGCUAUCCUUGAAUGAAGAAACUCUUAAAACAUCAUGUGUCUGCCUUGCUUUGUAUAGGAAAGAGCUGUAAACAGGAAGUCUACACCUCCCCCCCCCAAAAUAAAAGUGACCAGUCAAUUAGA